UCGAGAAGGGCAAAAAGACCAAAAAAAAAGAAAAAAAAAAAAUUUUUUAGAUACCCUGGUAGUCCACGCCCUAAACGAUGUCAACUAGUUGUUGGGGAUUCAUUUCCUUAGUAACGUAGCUAACGCGUGAAGUUGACCGCCUGGGGAGUACGGUCGCAAGAUUAAAACUCAAAGGAAUUGACGGGGACCCGCACAAGCGGUGGAUGAUGUGGAUUAAUUCGAUGCAACGCGAAAAACCUUACCUACCCUUGACAUGGUCGGAAUCCCGCUGAGAGGUGG
Molecule: ribosomal RNA, 279 nt
Filed under: uncultured Burkholderia sp.
Lineage: Bacteria; Pseudomonadati; Pseudomonadota; Betaproteobacteria; Burkholderiales; Burkholderiaceae
Description: partial 16S ribosomal RNA
Rfam family: Bacterial small subunit ribosomal RNA
Source: RNAcentral